This 236-nucleotide ribosomal RNA is filed under the name uncultured bacterium. RNAcentral's name for it is "partial 16S ribosomal RNA". It matches the Rfam family "Bacterial small subunit ribosomal RNA", at positions 105 to 334 of the family's 1533-position model. The record is from RNAcentral.
CUGGUGAGGUAACAGGUGGGCAAUGUGGCCCCAAAGUGGGGGAUAACUCCGAGAAAUCGGAGCUAAUACCGCAUAAGGCGUCAAGGACCUUGGUUCCGUGACGUUAAAGGAGCAAUUCGCUUUGGGAUCGGCCCGCCCCCGAUUAGCUAGUUGGUAAGGUAACGGCUUACCAAGGCAACGAUCGGUAGCUGGUCUGAGAGGAUGGUCAGCCACACUGGAACUGAGAUACGGUCCAG